UGUCACAACAUCUAAGUUAAAUGGUGGCUUUUAUUCUUCUUUUAAAAGCAGAAUAUUAUUCAUGCAUCCUCUUCUUAGUCGCUAGGAUUGUGAGUAGCAUGAGUUUCUACAGAUGUCAUUUGGCAUUAGCUCUGCGAGUGAGGUGUUCCAGCACAUCAUGGAACAAAUUUUCCAUGGAUAUCCCAGUGCCAUUAUUGUGGACAACAUACUCAUUGGUGGCAAGGACAUUAAGGAUCAUGAUGCCAUCCUAAGAAAAGUACUCAACUGAGCCACAGAGGUAAAUCUAAGACUCAACCCUGAAGUUCAGACUGAACCAAGUUGGACAUGUGUUUGUAAAAGCAGACCUAUCAAAAACAAAGGAAACUAGAAAUGUUGCAUUUCCUGUGAAAAUCCAAGUGUGAAUGCUGCAGUUGGCGUUUGAAGCCAACUGCAAAAGACUGGAAGGAAUGUAAGAAAUAGGCAGAAGCACCACAAGAAAUGAUAUCUGCCACAGAGGGGAGCUGGUCCUUUAGUUGGAACAGCAGUAGAAGUACCACAUGGUAGAUUAACUGCCAUUGUUUCAAGCACUGCUGAAUAUAUCUCAACAUGAAGGUUAUGUGGAGUUUGUGACAGGCUGACACUGUUUGCAUUAGAUUGUAUUUUAAUUUGACUUGAACAGUGUCCAAGUAAUACAAUCACAUCAUUUUGCAGAGUGAGCCAUUUGUCUAAACUGCUAAAAAUUUCAAUAAAGAUAUUUUGGAAAAAAAAAAAAAUCUUUAUAUUUUGUACACUAUUUUUUUUAAUGGUGUGGUGAAAAGUAUUAAUUUUUACACAUGUGGAAUAGGCCUAAAACUGCAUGUAUAUUUUCUCAGUUUAUACUAUUUUGAAAGAAAUGAGUUUGAAAACUUAGAGGUCCACCAGUGUAGUUAUGACUGUAAUAAAAGACAGGAGACAGACAGUCAGAUAUAUGGCAUAGUUUUACUUCACAUUUUUCCAUUACAGAGUAAAUCUUAAGUCUAAACACAGGUAUUGGACAGCUUCUUAACACCGAUACAUGAGGCUGCAUUAGCUAGUGGAUACUGCAUAGACACACACACACAAACUCACUUACACACACUCACAAAAAUGACUAAAUUUUCCAC
This is a long non-coding RNA of Xiphophorus hellerii (green swordtail), 1121 nucleotides long. RefSeq lists it as uncharacterized. The record is from RefSeq and is a predicted model, not a curated record. NCBI's taxonomy places the organism in Eukaryota, Metazoa, Chordata, Actinopteri, Cyprinodontiformes, Poeciliidae. The transcript is spliced from 2 exons.